ACGCACGCUGGCGGCGUGCUUCACACAUGCAAGUCGAACGGAAAGGCCCCUUUGGGGGUCCUCGAGUGGCGAACGGGUGAGUAACACGUGAGUAACCUGCCCUUGACUUCGGGAUAACUUCAGGAAACUGGGGCUAAUACCGGAUAGGAAUCCUUGCUGCAUGGUGGGGGUUGGAAAGCUUCGGCGGUUUUGGAUGGACUCGCGGCUUAUCAGCUUGUUGGUGGGGUAGUGGCUUACCAAGGCUUUGACGGGUAGCCGGCCUGAGAGGGCGACCGGCCACAUUGGGACUGAGAUACGGCCCAGACUCCUACGGGAGGCAGCAGUGGGGAAUAUUGCACAAUGGGCGGAAGCCUGAUGCAGCAACGCCGCGUGCGGGAGGACGGCCUUCGGGUUGUAAACCGCUUUCAGCAGGGGCGAAGCUUGUGGUGACGGUACCUGCAGAAGAAGCACCGGCUAACUACGUG
This 464-nucleotide ribosomal RNA is filed under the name uncultured bacterium. RNAcentral describes it as "partial 16S ribosomal RNA". It matches the Rfam family "Bacterial small subunit ribosomal RNA", at positions 29 to 507 of the family's 1533-position model. The record is from RNAcentral.